AUGGCGGUCGUUCAAAGAAAAAGGGACGGUGGGCCAAACUUGAAAUUUUACGAAGCGGCAGAAACAAUCACGCAGUUUGACGGCGUGAAGCAAUGGCUCCACAAGAACUGCAAAAAGUACACUCAGGCAGAACCGCCAACGAACAAGGGACUGGCGAGCUUGGCGAUUCAGCUCAUCCAGUUUCAAGAAGAUGCAUUUGGCAAAAGCGUGAGCAAGCCGCCGCUGACACGACUUCCAAUGAAAUGUUUUAUGGACUUUAAGCCUGGAGGUGCACUUUGCCACAUCUUUGCUGCUGUCUACAAGUUCAAGAGCGAGCAGGGAUGGCGCAGGUUUGACUUCCAGUCUCCCUCCCGCAUGGACCGCAACGUGGAGAUGUUUAUGACCGUCGAGAAGACUCUGGUGCAGAACAAGUGCUUGUCUCUUCCCCACAUCUACAUCUCCCCCGAGGUGGAGAAGCAGCUCAUCUCUCGGCUGAAGGACAUCAUCAAGAGGCACCAGGGCACCAUUGCAGAAACUCAAGACGAUGCCAGUCACAUCGUCUACCCUCCCGCGCCCGUGACAGACACCUCUGAAGAAUACGUGCGCUUGGUGAUGAAACGAGACCGGAGUGCUCUCAUCCACUGGUGGUAUUUUCCCGACAGUUUCGACACCUGGGUGGCCGGCCUUGACAUCGACAUGGAGCCAGACUCCCCUCAAACCCAUACCGGGCCUCACGAGGUUAAUGCAAAGUGGCUCAUUGACCUGGAUGAGUACAACGAAUGGAUGAAUGAGGAGGACUAUGAGGUCGAAACAGAUGCCAUGGGCCGAAGGAGGUCUCCCAGGGGAAAGUACACUUUGGAUGAGCUGCUCUCUGGUGAAGGCGAGCGGCGCGACAGGAAAGGCAUCAAGAAACGCAAGAGGUCUCCGUCUCCCCCUUUGGACAAGCGGAAGCGCAAGGGGGGAGGGCGCAGCCCAGCCAUGGGCAAGAAACGAUCUUUCCGCGACGACGAAUCAGACGACUUGACCAAGGACAUGGAAGAGCCCUCUCCCGAGCCCAGUGUGCAGGAAGUCUCGAUCCCCAAGAGCAACCCGAACCAGCGGAGCAGCAAAGACAGCGAACUGCAGCCUGUCAAGGGGGGCACCCUAAUGGAUCUGGAUGGAGCAGACCUGGACGAGAAAGGUGACAGAGACAAGGGAUCAAGGCCGGGCAGCCCCAACGGAGCUGGAAAGAGCGAGAAGGCAGACGCGCAUGAUGACAAUGUGACGGAACAGGCAAACCACAUCAUCAUCCCCAGCUAUGCUGCAUGGUUCGACUAUAACAGCAUUCAUGCCAUCGAGCGACGGGCCUUGCCAGAGUUCUUCAAUGCCAAGAACAAGUCAAAGACACCAGAAGUGUACAUUGCAUAUCGCAAUUUUAUGAUCGACACAUACCGGUUGAACCCCACCGAGUACCUCACUGUGACUGCUUGCCGGAGGAAUUUGGCUGGCGAUGUGUGUGCCAUCAUGAGGGUACAUGCGUUCCUGGAGCAGUGGGGGCUGGUGAACUACCAGGUGGAUGCGGACAGCCGACCGACUCCUAUGGGGCCCCCCUCCACCUCCCACUUCCACGUGCUGGCUGACACCCCCUCUGGACUGCAGCCCCUCAACCCUCCCAGGACUCAGCAGCCUUCAGCAGCGCAGCAGAUGCUGAACCUGGAUAAGGCCAAGGAGGUGGGGACGGACGGAAAGCCGGAGGAGGGCGGGGCGGCCAAGCCGGCCAUCGGGGACAUGCUGGGCCUAAAGAUGGACCAGUACGCCAAGAAGAACGCCUACCUGAAGCACCGGGCGGCGGCCACGGUGUCCCGGGAGUGGACGGAGCAGGAAACGCUGCUGCUUCUCGAGGCCCUGGAGAUGUACAAGGACGACUGGAACAAGGUGUGCGAGCACGUGGGCAGUCGCACUCAGGACGAGUGCAUCCUGCACUUUUUGCGCCUGCCCAUCGAGGACCCCUACCUUGACGACCCGGCCGCCGGGGGUGGAGCCCUGGGACCCCUGGCGUUUCAGCCCAUUCCGUUUUCCAAGGCUGGCAACCCGAUCAUGUCUACCGUGGCUUUCCUGGCCUCAGUGGUGGACCCCAGGGUCGCUUCGUCUGCAGCCAAGGCUGCCAUGGAGGAGUUUGCCAAGAUCAAGGACGAAGUGCCGUCGGCCCUCUUGGACGCCCACAUCAAGAACGUGGAGACCGCUGCGGCCGAGGGCAACGUGAAUCCCAAGGCGGGCCUGGGCAUGACCGGCAUUGCCGGCACAGCCGACAAGGAACCCACCGAAGGAGCAACGGCAGCAGCAGUAGCAACGACGGGAGAGGAGUCUGAAAAGGCGGAAGAAGGCAAGGAGGGCACAGAGCCUUCUCUCUCGGCGGAGGUCAAGGUGGAGAAGCCGAGCAGUUCUGAGGAGAACUCUGCGGCGUCCGUCGAGGGAGUGGCCUCGGGCGGAGAGGCAGCUGCGGAGGAGAAGGGCAAGGCGGCCCCAGAGGAAGCCCCCAAGGAGGGCGACCCCGAGGCCAUGGACACGGAGGAGCCCAGGGCCCCCGAAACCGAGAGGGACCGCCUGGUGAAGGACGCGCAGCUGUCCACUGCGGCCGCCGCCGCCCUGGGUGCGGCAGCCGUCAAGGCCAAGCACCUGGCAGCGGUGGAAGAGCGCAAGAUCAAGUCACUGGUGGCUUUGCUGGUGGAGACCCAGAUGAAGAAGCUGGAGAUCAAACUGCGCCACUUUGAGGAGCUCGAGGCCAUCAUGGACAGGGAGAGGGAGACGCUGGAGUACCAGCGCCAGCAGCUGAUCCAAGAGCGGCAGCAGUUCCACCUGGAGCAGCUGAGGGCGGCCGAGUUCCGCGCCCGGCAGCAGGCGCACGCCAUGAUGAUGGCCCAGCAGGGGGCGGCAGCCGCUGCGGCCGCCGCCGCCGCACCGCCCGGCUCAGGGGGCCUGCCGCCCCAAGGGGGCGCCGGCGGUGGAGGAGGCCCCAACCCCGAGGACCCAGGUCAGCACCCCCGCGGCCCCUCCUCCCAGCAGCCGCCCUCGCACCGCACGCCGUACAGCUACGGGCCCUCGUACGGGGCCGCAAUCCCCUCUGGCAUGGGGCCUCAGGGCAGGCCCGUGGGGCAGUUCCCUGGCCCCGGGGAAGGGUUCAGGGUCCCCCAUGGGGGCGGGGGCAACCCCGGGGCUUCCCCAGGCAUGCCUCUCUCUUCGUCCUCUGUCGGAUCGCCGGGCAUGCACCCCUCGGGCGCCUAUCGGCAACAUUCUUUUGGGAUGGGACACCCAUACUAAACGAUGCUGUAAGAACGGAUCUAUGCACCGUGGAGCCUUUCGUUUGGUUCACAAAUGGACAAUCUGGCCACCAGAAAGAUUCAGCAUUCUGCUUUGUGCCCAAGAACUGCUCUAGUCUCGUUUCAUCAAAUUAACAGUGAAGAGAAGCCACCACAAAAGAAGUGACCCCUUUCAAUUGUGUGCAUUUCGUGUUCUACUCGGUGUUGCGUACAACCUACGAGUUCUUCCAGAACCCUAAUUCACUUUAUUGUUUUCCAGUGUGCUUGUUUGGACAUGAGAAACAGGACUGUUCCUUUUUCUUUUUUUUUUCGUGUGCCUUGAAAUUUUUUUUUAGUCGCUUCAAUGAUGCACAAAACUAUGCUCGGCUCGUCUGAGGUUUUGAAGUAAUUGAACCGAGGUCUGCCAAAUAGCCACAUUUUUGGACAAGAUUUGCCAAGUUUGCAUAAUGAUGGUUGAGUAGUCAUACUGGCACUGUGCAUUGUACAAAGACACCCCCAUUUAGCUUGUUCAUGUCAUGCUCUCCAGCUGUGGCACGAACUCUCAGUGGGUGUCCUGUGUUAACAUCCACCGAGAGUAUACAAAUAACUUGUUUGUAAACUUGCCCUCGUAGAUCUGAAAAAGUGUAAUCUGAGAUUUAUCGUUCGCUGUUCUAGGUGCCUAGGUUUAGCCACUCUUCAAUUUGCAUGGAAUUGAACUUUCGCUGAGUGCAUCUAUGAAAAGAUAU
Molecule: unclassified non-coding RNA, 4000 nt
Filed under: Ixodes scapularis (black-legged tick)
Lineage: Eukaryota; Metazoa; Arthropoda; Arachnida; Ixodida; Ixodidae
Description: sWI/SNF complex subunit SMARCC2, transcript variant X4
Source: RNAcentral